Molecule: long non-coding RNA, 755 nt
Organism: Aethina tumida (small hive beetle)
Lineage: Eukaryota; Metazoa; Arthropoda; Insecta; Coleoptera; Nitidulidae
Exons: 5
Source: RefSeq, a predicted model, not a curated record
CAAAUUUUGACAUAUUCAACAUUUGAUCAGCUAUGAGUGGGGUCAGAAAUUUUAUAGUUCAACACCAUUCCAUUAGAAACGCGUAAAAUCUAAAUGAAGUGAUGUCUAACCCACAACUCCAGUCACAUUGUUUGUUGUAAGAUGUCUAAGGAAAGAAAACAAAGAACUUCCUUUAUGGCUUUCGGCCUGUUUUUAAUGGUAACACACAGAUAAUAGCGAUUCAUUGAAAACAAUAGGCCAAAAAACGUAAAAAUUUAGGUGGUAAAAGCGAUAAAGGUGUCAUAAUAUAUAACUAAAAUUGGAAGAGGAUAUCCAAGCUUCAGGGACGCUCAAAAGGGUGAAACAGAAUAUUGCCUUUCUCCAACAUAACAAUUGAAUUGAAUAGAAAUCAAUAAUUAAAAAGGGAAACCCCACGUGCUGGGUAUUGUUUGGGGAGAUAUCUGUGGAAUUCCUAAUGAUGACAUAUUAAUGAAUUUCAUCAUUGAACUUAAACCUAAUAUUUUUUAUGGAGGGUUUGCAAAUCGAAUGUAAUUUAAGAAACGGACAAAAGGCCCGAAAUGGUCUAUCAUGAAAUCAAAUUUAAGAGGAUUCGAUAAGUUUAAUAAAGGCUCUUUGUUCCCCUCUGGUCCAGCGUUAUUGGAAAAUCGGUGAUCAGUGAAAUCCAGUCAAGCAUUAUCAACGAUUAUCAGCAUACGCAGUUGACUUAUUCGGUUUUAGACAAUUACUUGCAUACAAAACGAGGUUAAUUAAUUUAC